GUGAAUCAUCGAAUUUUUGAACGCAAAUUGCACUCUCAGGUAUUCCGGAGAGUAUGCCUGUUUGAGGGUCAGUUUAAAUAAAAAUCGGUGUGGUUGCUGCCUUUCGUGGUGACGGACCGGAUUUGGUUCGUCUUGCCUUCGGUUAAGUGCCCUAAACUUUCACAUGAUUUUUUUCGAACGUAUUUACAUGAUUUUACGUACGUUUGCGAUAUAAAAUCCUAGGUGUGGUCAUGUUCAUGAUUUGUGUCU
Molecule: unclassified non-coding RNA, 249 nt
Filed under: Glomeraceae sp.
Lineage: Eukaryota; Fungi; Glomeromycota; Glomeromycetes; Glomerales; Glomeraceae
Description: partial contains 5.8S ribosomal RNA and internal transcribed spacer 2
Rfam family: 5.8S ribosomal RNA (bases 1-71)
Source: RNAcentral